CUGUAAUUGACUGGUAGGGUUGCAACAAAAUUAAAGACCAAAAUAACUUGUGUUCAAAGUUUGCAGGCAUAAAACGUGAUGUUACUUCAAGGUUUGGAUACAGACUUCAUAAAUAUUCAGGGCUGAAGGUCGCACAGAGCCAAGCCCAAGUUGUUUAAGUCAGCAGAAGGACUACUGCAAGCUUCAAAGGAACUUGAAUACAUUUUUAAGAACAUUUCAGAAUGGUUCUUAUCCUGUGCUGAAGGAUCAUUUAACUAUCAGGAUAAGAAGUACAAGCAGACAGCACCAGGCUCUGUCAUACCCCAUAGAAAUAGACAGCUCUUCCAAGCAGACCAUCUCAUCUGUUCAGAUUACCUGUCAUGUUUGGGGAGACCCAAAUCUUUUCCAAAUAAAAGGCUUUGACUGAAAAUUUCGUAGACACCCAAACCAUAACUGAAGGCCAAGAUGUCAAAUGUUACAAAUACGGUACCUACAUAAAAAGAGCCGAGGUCUGAGAAGAUUUGUAAGUCAGUGGAAUUUCUGCUUUGGAUGAAAUAACUCACGGUUGUAAAUCUAUGUGCUAGCACACUUCUUAAGCAAGAUACAGUACAGGGAAACUACAAAUAGUGUCUACGUUCCUUCUAUGUGGCUGAGAUUAGAAGACUGUUAACAAUAGAGAGUGGGAAAUCUGGGACUGGAACGUCAAGAACAAACCGCAGAAGAAGAGAUUAGGGUCUGCUUCAGGGGAACCUCAAAUACAGAAGCUCAGAUCCAGCCUGACAAGGCAGACAACAUCUCUAACUCUACAAGGUUCACAAGUAAAACAAUGUAUUUACAGUUCUAUUGGAGUCUUGACGGUCUUCAAUUUUUGAGGUAGUGCAAAAGUUGUUAAAAAGUAACAGCUGACAAGAAGCUUGAAAAGUGAAGACACAAAACACAAAAAGAAAUAUCAACAGAGCAAGAGACAGUAAAACAGAAGAUAUAUUGGAAAAGGAGGAGAGGGAAGACAGGGAAGAAAACAGUAACCAAAGAGAAUAGAAAUGUAGAAAACAUCAUAUCAUUAAUCCAUCACAAGGGACUCUGACACCUCCUGCUAGAGAGUUUUGUAUGAGUAUUCCUACAGACAGCUGAAAUUGUACACUUCGAAGAAUAAAGGAUUUACAUAAAUAUAUAAAUGCUAUUGAUCAUUUAACACAAUUGAUCACUACAGCCUUGACUGAGGUCAGUGGGAAUUUUGCCAUUGCUGCUUUGUAGUUUGUUUUUCACUUUCAAAGUAUCAGUGUUGAAGUGGAAAAUAACAGACAAAAAUUAUCAGUUGUACAAACAGUGGUCUCAAAGAAAAGUUCAAGAUAUAUUUUUGAAAAACUUGAUUAAAACAAUAUUGCUUUUUUCUACUUCCAAUGACUGUUGCUGUUACUGAACUGAGAAGACAGAUUUUAUUCCAGUGGAAAUAAGUGUUAGAAUAAAAAAAAUGAGAAGACCACAAUAAGGCUAGCAAAGGCGGAAGUAUAGAGGAAAAAAACCCACAACCCUAAGAUGUCAGCUUAGUGCAGCUAGUCUGCGGUCAGUGUCAUGGAACAUGCACAGUAAAGAGCAGCCUAUUGUAUUUUAUAGCUUCACAUACAAAACAGAAAGACUCAUGGGAGCUACACAGCUAAGAUUCUAUUUCUCAUGUGAAAAAAGGAAAUUGCCAACAUGUAUUUCAUAACCAUUAUUAUCCUAUUAAAUAAAGAUAGUACUCUGCUCUCUUAAUUUUUUUUGUUUAGAUAAGGUAUCUGUUUGGAAAACUUCUAUGCACACACACACACACAUAUAUAUUUAAGUAAAAAAUAAGUACUGUUAUAUUUACUGAAUUUUUUCAACAAUAUAACCAAGCUCACUUUAACUGUAUUUAACUACAAUUUCUCACAUCAUUUGGUAUCUGUUAAUUUAUUUGGUUGAUUUCUGCUCAGAACAGGUAGUAUAAUUUUCAUUGAGAACUGUGCUUAAUUUAUCAUGCCUAAAUACAUUUUAAAUUCUGUUGAUUUGUAUUUACACUUUUUAGUCACUUGUAUUAAAGUUUCAUAAAGGCAUUUUUAUUGUUUCUUUCUGAAAAUUGCAAUAUAUUUCUGCUGUUUAUAGUCUUUUUGUCAGCUUUGUUGUUCUCUCCACAUAACCGAGCAACUCAAUGUCUUUCCCAUAG
Gallus gallus (chicken) is the source of this 2161-nucleotide long non-coding RNA. NCBI's taxonomy places the organism in Eukaryota, Metazoa, Chordata, Aves, Galliformes, Phasianidae. The record is from Ensembl.